RNAcentral lists this ribosomal RNA (628 nucleotides) under Streptomyces sp. SID9124. RNAcentral describes it as "bacterial SSU rRNA". It matches the Rfam family "Bacterial small subunit ribosomal RNA", at positions 1 to 644 of the family's 1533-position model. The record is from RNAcentral. Lineage: Bacteria; Bacillati; Actinomycetota; Actinomycetes; Kitasatosporales; Streptomycetaceae.
CAUUCACGGAGAGUUUGAUCCUGGCUCAGGACGAACGCUGGCGGCGUGCUUAACACAUGCAAGUCGAACGAUGAAGCCCUUCGGGGUGGAUUAGUGGCGAACGGGUGAGUAACACGUGGGCAAUCUGCCCUUCACUCUGGGACAAGCCCUGGAAACGGGGUCUAAUACCGGAUAACACUUUCCUCCUCCUGGAGGAAGGUUGAAAGCUCCGGCGGUGAAGGAUGAGCCCGCGGCCUAUCAGCUAGUUGGUGGGGUAAUGGCCUACCAAGGCGACGACGGGUAGCCGGCCUGAGAGGGCGACCGGCCACACUGGGACUGAGACACGGCCCAGACUCCUACGGGAGGCAGCAGUGGGGAAUAUUGCACAAUGGGCGAAAGCCUGAUGCAGCGACGCCGCGUGAGGGAUGACGGCCUUCGGGUUGUAAACCUCUUUCAGCAGGGAAGAAGCGAAAGUGACGGUACCUGCAGAAGAAGCGCCGGCUAACUACGUGCCAGCAGCCGCGGUAAUACGUAGGGCGCAAGCGUUGUCCGGAAUUAUUGGGCGUAAAGAGCUCGUAGGCGGCUUGUCACGUCGGUUGUGAAAGCCCGGGGCUUAACCCCGGGUCUGCAGUCGAUACGGGCAGGCUAG